CAUUCCUUCCCCGGCGGAUCAGACAGAUCAACGUUGUUGUCCAGGACGAUGAGUGCACGAUCUCGGUUGGUAGCAUCUCAAGCUCUCCAUCGCUGCCAACCAAGAUCGCGCACUCAUCGUCCUGGACAGCAACACUGAUUUGUCUGAUCCGCCAGGGAAGGAAUGCUUCUCGGUGCGCUUUAACAAUGAUGAUCAGUUCGACUUCACAGCCCCCGUGAAGAUGUGCCAGCCACUGGAACAUUCAUGUAUCUAUGGUUACUGCAACGGAUUGGUUCUCAACUUCAGCAAGAUAGCAGGUUGCUAUGCGAUUUGGAACCCAUUAAUUAGACGUUACAAGAAGUUGCCACGUUAGCCGAUAGAAUUGCCUCCAAGUUUAUCUCAAUCCAUGGAAUAUCGGGGCUGCUAUGUCGUUCUCUCCUUUAGGCACGACCUAGUUAAUGACGACUACGUGGUUAACCUUCAACAAGGUCUAAGAGCUACCCCAGGAUUGCCCACGAGAUGGUACGCUUUUGUUUACCAUUAUCUAGCCAUAUUUGUAUAGUUAUGCACGAAAUUCAUUUAUUUCAAUGUUUGUUUUUGCAGAAGAGAGAUACCGGGGCCACCCCUACUAGGACCAACACUUUUAUAAAAAAUGCACACUAAAAAAGGAUGGCAACCCCCAGUCAGUGCAGAGGCUGGGGAGUUAUUUGUAAGUGCUCUUCGUUAAACUUACGUUUCUGAUAUUGUAUGUUUGUUCUUUAAUGAGGCAACAAUGCCAUACAAUAUUUUAAUAUAUUGUAGGAAACGAUGCAAACCGCGAAGUUUACGCAAACAUCGAGCGAGGUGACUACGUAGGGAGCAAUAGCAUGGUCUAACGACGACCCAUAUGUUCAGGCCAUGGGAAGGCCUGAAUACCCUGGGUGUGUGCGCGGAGUAGGGUUUGGGGUUCUACCUGCGAGGUCGAGACCUCGUUCCUUGACACCAGCCACCCAGGAUCCCGCACUUUUGCAACAAGUUAGUGUCUUGACAACACGACUUGCGAUGCAAGUAGCGACACAUCAAACACAAUUAGCUGCACAAAACGAUCCUAUGGUGGCACAAGAAACACGAUUGGCUCAAAUGCAAACACUUCUCAAAAGUUUUAUGUCAAAUCUUGGAACUGGAAACCCAUUUUCACUCAAUGGCGCCCAAGGGGUACACAUCGUAGAUAUACAUUCCCCCGACAAUGUGAAGCAACGAUCGUCCGUUGGUAGUCGACCAGGUGAAGUUUUAUUAUGUUUUACGCCUCCAUCACCAAGAUUAUUAAACGACGUUCUUCCAAUUUCGAUACCACAUGUUAUAGAGUUAAAUGACGUUGCUUUGUGUAUGUUUCAUCUGGUGUUUCUAUAUGUUAUGUAGGUGAACACCGGGCAGCGUCCGAAGAUGAGCUUGAUGACCACGACAUAGCUGCGAAUGAGCGUACGUCCUGACAUGUUUGAAGCAAAGGCAAAUAUCAAUAUAGUGCAUGAUUGAUUUUGGAAUGGUAUGCUUAGAAGAAAAUUAUCUGUGAUAAAUUAGUAAUCAUACUUGAUUGCAUGGUGCAUGAUGGCUAUGUAAUAGAGUUUAUAUAAUCAAUUGUUUUUUUGGCUCAACUACAAGCUAACAUUUCUUGUGUGAUAUCCCAACCUUAGUUAGACUAACCUAAUAAUUAUAAAUAGAUGGCAUGGGUAUUAAUAUGAUUAAUUUACUUCAUUAAAACUAAAACAUGUUGGACUAAAACUUUGUAGACCAAAAUAAGCUGGUUUGCAUAAGCUGGUUUGGAUGAUGCACAAGAAAUGUCUAAACUAAACUAAGACUAUUUCUCAAGUAAGGCAGUUAAAACAAAAGUUUAAAGCAACAUAAAAUACAUUUUGAUGAAUUUUUUGUGUUCCUUAGUUGAAGUUUUUGGCAGUACAAUGUCAAAUAUGUUUUAAACAUUCAUUAAUGCCUUUACUUGUCUCAUUAUUGCAGCAUAGUGUGAAAGGAGAUGUGAUGUGGUGAACAUGGUGGCAUGCCCCCCCUUAAUUAUGAUUCAGCCAAUCACAAGGUGGCCCAUUUUCAUCUUAUUAUGUGGAGCUAGCUAUAUAUGUUCUGCUUGCUAGCCGACAGCAUGUGCCAUUUCUUCUGUUGCUACUCAUAGCACAUUUCUUACAUAAUGCUUAGACUUUGACUAUUUAGAAAUAUUGUUUACUACCUAGCUUAAGCUGUUGUUUUACUUGUUGUACAAUUAUUUUCUCAUGGAUAUUACAAUAUUUUUGUAUUUUGAAAUUUGGUAUUUAAUAUAACUAUUCAAUAAUAUUGUAAUUUUGUUCAAUAGGAUGUAUUUUAUGUUUGUCUAAUAAUUAUGUGUGAUGUAAUCACGUGUUGUCUAUCAGAUUUAGUUCAUUUGAUCACGUGAUGUGACCAUGUUGUGUUUUUUUCGUUUAUGUGUGAUGUAAUCACGUGUUGUCUAUCAGGUUUAGUUUAUUUGAUCACGUGAUGUGAUUAGGUUGUGUUUUUUUCAUUUUCUUUUAUAUAU
RNAcentral lists this non-coding RNA (2515 nucleotides) under Betula luminifera. The record is from RNAcentral. Lineage: Eukaryota; Viridiplantae; Streptophyta; Magnoliopsida; Fagales; Betulaceae.